Molecule: ribosomal RNA, 274 nt
Filed under: uncultured bacterium
Lineage: Bacteria
Description: partial 16S ribosomal RNA
Rfam family: Bacterial small subunit ribosomal RNA
Source: RNAcentral
AUACGGAGGGGGCUAGCGUUGUUCGGAAUUACUGGGCGUAAAGCGCACGUAGGCGGAUUGGAAAGUUGGGGGUGAAAUCCCAGGGCUCAACCCUGGAACUGCCUCCAAAACUAACAGUCUAGAGUUCGAGAGAGGUGAGUGGAAUUCCAAGUGUAGAGGUGAAAUUCGUAGAUAUUUGGAGGAACACCAGUGGCGAAGGCGGCUCACUGGCUCGAUACUGACGCUGAGGUGCGAAAGCGUGGGGAGCAAACAGGAUUAGAAACCCUAGUAGUCC